AGUGAAGCGGCAAAAGCUCAAAUUUGAAAUCUGGCGUCUUUGGCGUCCGAGUUGUAAUUUGAAGAAGGUAUCUUUGGGCCCGGCUCUUGUCUAUGUUCCUUGGAACAGGACGUCACAGAGGGUGAGAAUCCCGUGCGAUGAGAUGACCCGGGUCUGUGUAAAGUUCCUUCGACGAGUCGAGUUGUUUGGGAAUGCAGCUCUAAGUGGGUGGUAAAUUCCAUCUAAAGCUAAAUAUUGGCGAGAGACCGAUAGCGAACAAGUACAGUGAUGGAAAGAUGAAAAGAACUUUGAAAAGAGAGUGAAAAAGUACGUGAAAUUGUUGAAAGGGAAGGGCUUGAGAUCAGACUUGGUAUUUUGCAUGCUGCUCUCUCGGGGGCGGCCGCUGCGGUUUACCGGGCCAGCAUCGGUUUGGAGCGGCAGGAUAAUGGCGGAGGAAUGUGGCACGGCUUCUGCUGUGUGUUAUAGCCUCUGACGAUACUGCCAGCCUAGACCGAGGACUGCGGUUUUUACCUAGGAUGUUGGCAUAAUGAUCUUAAGUCGCCCGUCUUGAAA
This 552-nucleotide ribosomal RNA is filed under the name Candida albicans. RNAcentral describes it as "LSU rRNA". It matches the Rfam family "Eukaryotic large subunit ribosomal RNA", at positions 92 to 659 of the family's 3401-position model. The record is from RNAcentral. Lineage: Eukaryota; Fungi; Ascomycota; Pichiomycetes; Serinales; Debaryomycetaceae.